AGAGUUUGAUCAUGGCUCAGGAUGAACGCUAGCUACAGGCUUAACACAUGCAAGUCGAGGGGAAACGACAUCGAAAGCUUGCUUUUGAUGGGCGUCGACCGGCGCACGGGUGAGUAACGCGUAUCUAACCUGCCCAUCACUUGGGGAUAACCUUACGAAAGUAAGACUAAUACCCAAUGACGUCUCUAGAAGACAUCUGAAAGAGAUUAAAGAUUUAUCGGUGAUGGAUGGGGAUGCGUCUGAUUAGCUUGUUGGCGGGGUAACGGCCGCCAAGGCGACGAUCAGUAGGGGUUCUGAGAGGAAGGUCCCCACAUUGGAACUGAGACACGGUCCAAACUCCUACGGGAGCA
This 350-nucleotide ribosomal RNA is filed under the name uncultured bacterium. Its description in RNAcentral is "bacterial SSU rRNA". It matches the Rfam family "Bacterial small subunit ribosomal RNA", at positions 8 to 349 of the family's 1533-position model. The record is from RNAcentral.